CAGUCGCCGCGGUAAAACGAAGGGUGCAAGCGUUACUCGGAAUUACUGGGCGUAAAGCGUGUGUAGGUGGUUGUUUAAGUCUGUCGUGAAAGCCCUGGGCUCAACCUGGGAAUUGCGAUGGAUACUGGGCGACUAGAGUGCGGUAGAGGAUAGUGGAAUUUCCGGUGUAGCAGUGAAAUGCGUAGAGAUCGGAGGGAACAUCUGUGGCGAAGGCGACUAUCUGGGCCAACACUGACACUGAGACACGAAAGCGUGGGGAGCAAACAGGAUUAGAUACCCCCGUAGUCCCUGUCUCUUAUCA
Molecule: ribosomal RNA, 301 nt
Filed under: uncultured bacterium
Lineage: Bacteria
Description: partial 16S ribosomal RNA
Rfam family: Bacterial small subunit ribosomal RNA
Source: RNAcentral